GGGGGGGGGGGGAAGGGGAAGAAGAUGGCGACGACGCAGCCAAUAUUUAUAGGGAUCGAUUCUGACUAUGCACUCUAUGUCGCCGAAUCCGUGGGUUUCUAUAAUGAUACAUGAAGUUUGUUCUCCGUGCGACCAAAAUAUGGCGGGUUGGCGCCUCUCUCUCUCUCUCUCACAAAAGCUCUAUUUGCAGAUCAAUGAUUAAAGCCCCCAAAAAGAUUCUUCAACUCACACAAAAACCCAAACCCUAAAUUUGUGGCACCAUCGUGAUGGGUAUUUUUAACUUGACCUGUACCAACUGACCAACUAACUGCGCAUGUCCUCACUUUUAGCCUUCAGAUGUUUGGUUGCCGAGUGAUCCAGAAGCAAUGAGAGGAUAAAUUGUGCGGCAAUGUCAACGGUUUCACCAACAAUGAUAAGGAUUUGAGACCAAUUUUCAAGCGGCCAAAUAAGUUAAAAAUUCGAAUGGCUGAUUUUAUACACCAGUUUGAUAUUUUGUCUUUCUAGGUUAAAAAUAGAUACAACUUUAUGCGAUUGUUUAGCGGUGAUAUUAUACAUCUCUUUAUUUGUGGUAUCUGAAAGUGUCAAGCUCUACGAAUAAGGGAAAAGGAAAAGCCACAUAUGCUAAAGAUGCCUUCAUGUCUCUUUUGUUGGUUGUGUUUGGAGUAUGUUAUAUUUAGCUAAUUGAAAAUUAGGUGAAAUAGUUAUAGUAUCCCUACCAAAAUUUACUGUCUCUGCCUUUUUU
Rhododendron vialii is the source of this 742-nucleotide long non-coding RNA. RefSeq lists it as uncharacterized. Lineage: Eukaryota; Viridiplantae; Streptophyta; Magnoliopsida; Ericales; Ericaceae. The transcript has 5 exons. The record is from RefSeq and is a predicted model, not a curated record.